ACCCAAUAGAUACCCCGGUAGUCCACGCCCUAAACGAUGUCAACUGGUUGUUGGGGAAGGUAACUUCCUUAGUAACGAAAGCUAAACGCGUGAAAGUUGACCGCCUGGGGAGUACGGCCGCAAGGUUAAAACUCAAAGGAAUUGACGGGGACCCGCACAAGCGGUGGAUGAUGUGGAUUAAUUCGAUGCAAACGCGAAGAACCUUACCUACCCUUGACAUGUAGCGGACCCUGCUGAGAGGUGGGGGUGCCCGAAAGGGAACGCUAACACAGGUGCUGCAUGGCUGUCGUCAGCUCGUGUCGUGAGAUGUUGGGUUAAGUCCCGCAACGAGCGCAACCCUUGUCACUAGUUGCUACGAAAGGGCACUCUAGUGAGACUGCCGGUGACAAACCGGAGGAAGGUGGGGAUGACGUCAAGUCCUCAUGGCCCUUAUGGGUAGGGCUUCACACGUCAUACAAUGGCGCAUACAGAGGGUUGCCAACCCGCGAGGGGUAGCCAAUCCCAGAAAGUGCGUCGUAGUCCGGAUUGUUCUCUGCAACUCGAGAGCAUGAAGUC
This 555-nucleotide ribosomal RNA is filed under the name uncultured bacterium. RNAcentral's name for it is "bacterial SSU rRNA". It matches the Rfam family "Bacterial small subunit ribosomal RNA", at positions 771 to 1327 of the family's 1533-position model. The record is from RNAcentral.